UCUUCCUGUUUCUGGAUGACUGACAAAUGUCACGGAUCAGGGAUACCUUUCUAAGCAAGAGCAAAAUAGUGCAAAGGCACUGUAGCUCACCUUGAUAGGUAGGUUCACUUUGAAAUGUCAAGAAAGACAA
Long non-coding RNA from Haliotis rufescens (red abalone), 130 nucleotides. RefSeq lists it as uncharacterized. NCBI's taxonomy places the organism in Eukaryota, Metazoa, Mollusca, Gastropoda, Lepetellida, Haliotidae. The transcript has 2 exons. The record is from RefSeq and is a predicted model, not a curated record.